CGCAGGCUGAGUAAUCUAUAAGCUAACUACGUCAUUCGGUGAAUGCGGGGCGUGCCAACUCGUCGGCCGAGCUCAGCCGAGGAGUAAAUUUGUUGAUGUUGCGUUAAGCGCGCGGCUGACUUCUGCGUCUUGCGAUUGCGACCGAGGAAGGAACACGUCUCGGCCUCUUGGGUUCUCGAACCUGAAGACAAGGUUACUAUUCUUACGAAGUUCACGAAUCGCCGUCGUCGGAUUCGGUCACCGCGAUGUUAUUCGUCAGAGUAAACUCACGUUGAAUUGACACCAAAGUGUAAGGGCACAAAUACUCAAAGCGAAUAUAAGUCUUUAUAGUGAACGUGAUUCGGCCGUCUGAAUGCCGAACUCUGAAUCCCACUUGAGAGUAUCCAAUCAUAAAACAACUCGGCAUGCAAUGCGCCAAGCUUAGUAAAUUGUAACACCUCACUUCGCCGGGAAGGCUAAUGAGAUGACCUCAAUCAAUAAGGAUUCAGAAAUCCUUCUCGACCGAGACUGGAUAGGUAACCAACCGUCCUCGCCGCAGUGCUGUUAAUGCCAACGGAAGAUACUGCGAGAUCGGCCAAUUCUACGGCGACAGAGCUAUCUAUGCCGACUUAAGGUGUCACCGAUUGCUUUCACAGUGCUGUUGAUGCCAACGGAAGAUGUGUCAGCGAAAAGAGAAAAUAAAAAUCUCAAGUUGUUGAGAGAGUUUGCGCAGGGCAAUUGUGUGUUGAAUUGGAGGGGCUUUAAAUGAUUCACAGCCUCUUCUAUUUAUAGCAACGGAUCCCCCAAGGUCGAGUUAAAACCCUAUUUGGACUAGGACUUCUUCUCCUGGUCAAACACUGACUCGACCAAUCCUACUUUCAUUAUGACUGUGAACCUAGUCCUUUAUUGAUCCGGAUUUGUUUUCGGGUUAUUAAUCCUGCCGAAACUCCUUAUUGCACCAGGACUCGACUAGUCUUAUGUCAUGACCUAGCCGACCUAGGUUUGGAGGCCCACGUACUGAACGAUUCAUAGCACCCUUGUCGCAAGGCCUUCCGGGCCGAGAAUGAUUCUAUACUCGGCACAAACUAUUAUUUUGGGCCUAAACAUUGCCCCCUCGCUUCUGAGGCCUUCGGCCUGAACCCUCUGGCCGAGCUCCGGCCUUGAAGAAGCGAAAUUAAAGCUCAAAACUCAAAUGCUCUCAUUUCGAGGUGCAUUUAUUGAACACGAUUACACGAUCUUGAUUCUGCUAACCACCAUUCCACGUGGCAUUCUUCUAUAGGGCUAAUCCCUAAUAGUGACGUUUGAAGCGUGCCGCUCCCUGAACAGUCAUAUCAUCAUGGUCUUGUUGCUGAACACCACCAUGCCACCUCGAUCUGCGAACCAUUCAGCAUAGUGAAGACGCCGAACUGUCUUUCACCAUAAAUCUCGUCGCCACACGCAAUCGUGUGUCCCCUGAAACACGAAACCCUCGGUCUUCUCAACUGGAUUUUCUGAAUGUUCAUAAUGAUUAGCGAAUCUCUCGGUCGAUUUUACCCCUCAUUUUAAAUUUCGAACGAUUGCCCUUCCCUCCAUCGUCCUAUAAAUACCGAAAUCCUCUCAUUUGUACUUUUACGCGUUCAAAUUUUUUGAAUUUCUUGCCAUUGCUCUCUAGCGUAUUUCUUUUCCCUAGGUCUUCAUCUUCAAGUCCCCCAACCCAGAAAAACCCCUUUUCGCAUCGUACUUUUUAACCCUCCUACAAUGGCCUCCUUCAUCUCUAAGCUUUCCAGGGAAUGUGAUCAGUGUCAGAAAAUUCUUAAUCGAAGCACAAUCAAAACCAUACGGUUUGAAAGUGACAUGAGCGCUUCUCACCAAAUCUUGGGUCCUCUUUUUAAGGCGGUAGUACCAUCAGCCAUUACCGGACUUCUCCAGGAGCAUUGCCUAUCGCCCUUGCUCCAAGGGUUUGAAUGGUCGAGAUGGGAUGCGGCAAGGCCUCAAGGCUCUUGGCCUUUGACCACUACAACCUGGGCAGCCUGGGUUGUACGAAUGGAAAAGCUCUUUGGCGAGCAAUGGAAAGCCCUCGGUAUCUAUGACGCCAUUCUCCUCUCGUCUAUGGAUGUCGUUCUCGACAAGGAGCUUCUCCUAGCCGCCCUAUGCUUUUGGUGUUCGGCCACCAACACCAUGGUCCUCCCUCUUGGUCCCGUUGGCCCUACCAUUCUUGAUAUCACCGCCAUUUUGGGAACUUUAGCAUCUGGAAUCCCCAUCGAUGCUGCCCUCUCUGGGUACCCGUCGAACCUGAACCUGAAGACGCUUUUCGACAGACAGGCUUUUGAGACGUUGAGCAGUGAGGGUCAAACCCCCUCGAAAGAAGACGUUCAGAAACUUCACAAGAACUUCUUCAACUACAACACCCUCUAUCUCCAUUUUGCCGGCCGAGGAGAAGAGGCUCUGCGAGAAGGGGAACAUGAGGCUUUCCUCUUCUAUUUGUACAACAAGUACAUUUGUUGUACUAAAUCUAACAAAUGCUUGGUCGGGAACAUGCCGGUGGCCGAGGCCCUGGCUAGUAGUCACGCCCUGUCACUUAGCUCCAACAUUCUUGCCCAUCUCUUCCGCUGUCUGGCUGAGACGACCCUUCACAAGAUCGACCCAUACCAGAAUGGUCCCCUUUGGGUCUUUCAACUCUAGCUGCAAGUUUACUUCACCUCACUUCGGCCGGCAAUCGUCGAUUUCUUGCCAACGGAAGCGUUUGGGCCUCAGUUGGCCUCCCGACCAACACCCCCUCACUAAGCCGAAGAGGUAUUUAGAUACUUUUUCGCCCUUGAUGACCUUUCCAACGACGAGUUCUUGAUAUGUCGUCGUCGAUAAUAUCCUUCCUCAAUCAAGCUACCUAUAUCAACGUGGGGCGCGGACGAAGAUGCCGACCUUCAUCAGUCUUGGGGGUCAUUCGUGCUCACUCGCGACCUUCUUCUCGGCUGUGAUGGGAAACGAGCGGGCUGGAAAGUGUACCAUCCUAACUUCCUAGCUCGACAGCUUGGCUACCUCCAAGGCUGCCCGGUCCCCCUUCUCUCCUCACGGACCGUCCUAAGCCAUGGACGCGAGCCUGGUUCCUCGGAGAAGGAAUGCAAUAUCGCCAAGAGGGAGUUUCAAGAGCAAUGUCAAAGUUUCCGCCUCCGACCGGCCAUCCCAGAAACACUUAGUACCGAUACUUUUGGCGAGUGGUGGGAAAAGUAUGCCCAGGAGUUCUUUGGUGUUCCGGUCGAAACCGUUUUGGACAAACUUUUCGGUGAUCGACCUAAGAAGGCUUCUGUCUCCCAAGCCCAAGGUAACUGUUUAUUUCCCCCCUUUUUCUUUUCAAUUUUGAACUAUUGAUCGGUUUUGCUGAUUUGCUUUUACGUUCUCAGGUAGUCGACCGUUGAAAAAGGUAGAGACGAUCGCUGCAGUUGUGGCCAAGAAAAAAUCGGUCGUCUCUAAAAAGACAACGAUUGCCGCGCAGGCUUUGCUGAGUAAACGGGAGAUUCACGUCAUUUCUAGUCAAACCACGGGAGCGACGACCCUCAGAGUUUCCCCUUCUCCCCCCGUCGCCCAAGCCUUGGUCGAGAAUCAGCUAAUUCCGACCGAGGAAGCAGUCCAAGCGCGGCCUGUUUCUAAGGUUGGGAAACUAGUUGUUGUUCCCUUGGUCGAUUCUGCACCUGUCUUAAAAAAGGCAGUCUCCUCGACCGAGAAAACUUCUUCUGCAAAACCCUCGGUCGUCGUUUUAGAGGAGAGUGAGGGGAGCGACGAAGUGCCUCUGGUGAGUCGCCCUCGUUCCCAUCGUCAACCUCCUCCCGUGUCCGAGGUGGCUAUCCAAGUCGGCCUUACGUAGCCGACCAUAGCAAACCACCGGCCGGAGAGCCAGCAGCGGCGACGAAAGCUCCCAUUCACCCGCAAGACCAGGACCUCCACUCCGUGCCUGAAGCUGCUGUCCGAUUCGGCCCGUCUAUGGCUGACUGCAGUAAACGACCUGUCGGGGAGCCAGAAGCGUCGGCGGAGAUGCCCGUUCAUCCGCAGGACCAAGAUCUCAAUAUUCCUUAGCAAGAGGUUACUUCGGCCUUUGUAAGUACCUCAUUCCGCCUUUUCUUAGUUAGUUUUUUGCCGUAAAAACUCUAAACCAGGAAAAUACUAAAUGUCAGGUGCCUGCACACUCUUUUCAUCAAAAAUUUUAUGCGCCGAAGGGUGUUAUCUAUAUUUCUUGGCCGCCUCAGUGGCCAUCGAAUAUAGAUAACCUCCAUCGGCCGCGUGAACUGAGAAGCAGCCUAAGACACUGGGCUCGGCCAUUAAGCUCUUUAGGUUCGAGCAACGAUCCUGAAGACAUGGCCGAAGUCUCCUCUCGGCAGGUUAAAAGAAACGAAACCUUCUCGCUAUCUUUUUAGGAUUUCUUUGAGCUCAACUUUAUUUUUGUGUGCAGGCUUCAUGGGAAGUCGAAUUCAAAGCCCUCAUGUCCAGCACAACUGGAGGGGCUGGUCAUUCGGUCGCCGCGACUGACGCUGCUGAUUCAACUGCUCUAACUCUGUUGCAAGGGGUCUUGUCGCUUUUCGACGUCUCAAGUACUCGAGCGCAACGGUCUUGACUUGGUCGGUGCAUGUCUAAACAACCUCGGAGCCGAUGGUCACCUGAGCGGCGAGGCUAUCAUUCAAGCGUCGUCUACCUUGGAACGGGUUCGGAAGACCUUUAAUAUCUUUCAGAACGCUCUGAAGGCCGAACAAGACCUGCAAGCUGCCCGGCCGUCCAAGAUACUCUCCGUCCAAAGAUCGAUGCUUUAAAGGCAAAAGGAGAGGCCUUGGCCGACCUCGACCAUCAAAUUGCCGAGUUGGCGAAACGCAGGUCGGCCAUUGCCUCUGAGAUUGCUAGGGACUUUGAAUCGGGUGGCAAAGCUUGCUUAACCGAGUAUGCGGUGAACACAAAAUGGAUCGAGCAGUUGAAGCUAGAGAAAAAGAACCGGGUUUAGGCUUACCUCGACUGGUAAACUACUUUGUUCAAUUAACCACAAUGAGUUUAUGCUUAACUCGACUGGUAACAUUGCAUCGUGUCCGUAGGUUAGUGCAUACGGGGUUGUCGCAAUCGCCGAUUGGGGCGAUGUUCGAUUUGCCCAUAAUGCCUCAUUCAACUUCAAAUGCCAUAUGCCAGGCUUUUCUUUUAUUAUUUUCUCGAGAAUGCCGAUCAUAACUUUAUUGCUUGCCUUAACCUGCCCAUUUGCUUAUGGAUAAUAUGGUGUAGACUGUUCGAGCUGAAUUUUCAAAUUUGCUGUAUACUCUUUAAACCUCUCGGCUGUAAAGAUUGUGCCAUUGUCAGUUAUGAUCGUUUCUGGCACACCAAAUCUGGUCACAAUGUGUUCCUCCACAAAGAUGCAAACUUCUUUAGAUGUUAGCUUGGCAUAAGAUUUCGCUUCGACCCACUUAGUAAAGUAAUCGGUUGCUACUAUUAUCCAUGUGUGCUUGGCAGGCCCGGAAGAUGGUGUAAUUUUGCCGAUUACGUCUAUGGCCCAUCCUCUAAACGGCCAUGGUUUAAUGACCGAAUGCAACGAUUCGGCCGGGACCCUUUGUAUAGGCCCGUGAAUCUGGCACUGUAUGCAUCCUCGUGCAAACUCGAUACAAUGCUUUAGUAUUCUUGGCCAAAAAUAGCCGUGUCGUCGAAGUAGCCAUCGCAUUUUCUGUCCGGAUUGAUGAGCUCCUCAAAUCCCUUCAUGUACUUCUGUGAUCGCCUGAGCACCCUCUUAGGGGCCGAGGCAUAGUAGUAGCAGUCUAUCCUCGCCUUUCCGGUAUAACUCAUUUUGAUACAUGACAUAGUUCGUGGCGUGAACUCGUGUCUUACGACUAUGUUUGCCAUUAGGAUUGUCAAGGUACUGCUGAUCGGAUCAUAUUUAUAUAUAUUUUUACUUCAAAUUCACUCGUCUUUUCUUAGUUAGUUCCUUAUAUUUUUGAGCUAUUUACGUUAUUUUUGUGUUUAUAGGAUUUGUUAUGCAAAGAAAAUAAAAAUAGCACAAAUGAGUUUUAAAUAAUAAACAGAAAAUAGUGGAACACGGGUGGACCACUAGAAAAAUAAUGGAGAGCAUAAAAUAUAUAUAUAUAUAAUAUAUACAUAUAAAUAGAUAUAGAUAUAUAAAUAAUAUAUAUAUAUAUAUCACAUAUAUAUCUAUAUAUAGUGGGAGUUGGUGAAUGGCAUUUGUGAAGUGCGGUAGGUGUGUGUGCAGCUAAUAAACAAAAGAAAUGAAAGCUGCACUUGCAGCUAGUGUAAGAAAAGAGGAUUAAACAAAACUAUUGAGUGCAGUGUGGUUGGUGAGCACAGAAAAUAAGAAGAACUUGGCAGCAUUUGAAGAAGCAGCACGUGGAGAAAUAUAAGCUGCCUUUGCAGCUGAGGCUCGGGGGGGGGGGAGCUGCCUUUGGGCAGCUCGCAGAGAGCGCAUGAGUCGCAGGAAAACGGGGGGAGCAAGUCAGGGGCUUGCGGAGUGUGAAAAGAGAAGGCAGCCUUGCUGCCAGAAAGAAAAAAAAAGGAAAUAAAAAAAUAGAAGAGAGAGGAGAUACAGCGUGAGGGAUGGUGAGUACGGGACUGCAAGGAAAUGUGAGGUCAGAUGGGGGAGGCUGCCCUUUGGCGGCAGGAGAAGGAAACAAAUGGCUGUCUGGGGGCCUUGAGAAACACACGGUAGGAGAGAGACAGCAGCGUGAGAGAGUGAGGGAGCUGCCCUUUUGGGCAGCGUGAAGACAGACAGAAAAUAGAAAAUAACAGAAGAGGGAGACAGAGGAGACGUGGGGGGACUGAAGGCUGCCUUGCAGCGUGGGAAAGUAGAACGGGAAAAGAAAAGAAUAGAGUACGGGCAGGUCAACAAGAACGGACAGAGAGCAGGGAAGGAGAAACGGGCAGAAAGCAGCAGAUCCUCUUUCGGUUUAAUUUUUCCAAACUUCUCUUUUAUUUCUGUUUUUAAUAAUGUGUAAUUAAAUUUAUGUUGGCUAGAGGUUAAUUCAAAGCCAUGAAUAUAUUUGUAAUAUGAAUUGAUUACCUUCAGUUGUGAUUUCUGAGUUGUGAUUUAAUUUGCUUAACUGCUUGAUAGAUAACUUAUUUUUGUAUGUCGAUUAAGGAUGCAUACUUAAUUUACAUGCAUGAAUUUGAUACUAGAAUAUAAGUGAAUUUCACCUAAUCGUUAUGAACUUAUAUUCACAAGUAGUGAAGGUUGUUAUCCACAAUCGUGUUAAGUGAAUUCUUGGCAUAAGUUUCAUGCAAAUCAUAGUAACGAGUGCCUCGUCAAUGCUUAUGUUUUUCAUAGAACUUAAUGAUUCUUGCUUGUAUCUCUAUUAUGCAAUUCAUGUAGGGAACUUGUAGGGAAUGUUUUGGGUUGUCGUAUGCAAUCAUCCAACCCAAUAACUUGUGGAAAAACUGAGGGUUAAUUAGUGCAAUUCACGGUUAAUUUGGGGCGUUGAGAUUUACAAUUUAUUGAAAGAACAACUGAAAAUCAAUUUAGGUUGCAUAUGUGUCAUGUGUGGAGAAGAACCCUCUAGCUAGUCUGUCAUUUAUCAUUUUACCUUACUUUUAUGUUUUUGUCAAUUCUGUAAUUUAUUUAAGUUUAAUUUAGUUCUCGUCAAAACCAAAAACCCCCCAUUAUUAAAUUAUAUUAUUUAGUUAGUUUUCAUUGUUGUUAGUCUUUUAAUUCAAUUUCCGUCCAUUUCAAUUCCUAGUGUCUAAUUUGAUUGUUUUCAUUAUUUUGAGUCAUUCUAAGUGUGUUUCGAGUUAUUAGAGUUUUUAGCCUAGUUUUGUGUCCUUGAGUCUUGUUUAAUAUUUUUAAAUUAAUUUAGAGUAGAUUAGCAAUCCCUCCUAAUCCCCGGCCUAGAACGAUACCCUACUUACAUCUAUACUACAAUUGUCAAUAAGAGGGUUUAAUUUGUGUGUCAAGUAAUUCACGCAUCAACUGCAUAAUGGGCUUUCUCCAAUCAUCUGGUAUUGCCUCGACAGCACAAACCUUUAUAGAGUCUUGUCGAUCUAACAACGAAGGUAAGGACAUGACCUUGGUGCGUAUCACGUUGUCGCGUCGGAGAAUUUGCUGGUUAACCAAGGCCGGGUAUAACUGUCGUAACACCGAUAUCUCUCAGCCUAGCUUGCCCCCAGGAGUUGUGCACCGGAGGUGAUUUAAGCCAACUCGUUUGCGUCGGUAUUAUAGAUUCGGGAAAUAUGCUCGAAUGUAAUACCGUCGAAGGACUCGGCCAAAUAGCUGGCAACCAUGUGGUAGGGUGCCAGAGUACAACUCAUGCAGCGGAAAAACCCAUUAAGUUGGUUAAUCACAAGUUCAGAAUCACCGAUGACGAGGGCACGAGUGGCCCGCAAGUCACGAAGGAGGCCAAGGCCGAUGAUAAGGGCUUCGUAUUCGGCCUGAUUAUUGGUGCAGUCGAAAUCCAACUUAAGCGAAAAAUACCAACGAUCGUGGUUAGGAGAUUGAAUGACGAUGCCAACGUCGGUCGAGGAUGAAGUACUAGAACCAUCAAAAUACAUCGUCGAGUAGUUGUCGCGAGUUGCAACCAUGCCGAUUUCGACAUCAGUGUCCCCAAAAUCGUAGGGGGAAGGGUGUUGAGCAAGGAAGUCGGCCAACGCCUGGCCUUUGACAGCUUUCUGGGGCACGUAUUGCAAGCUAAACUCGGACAACGCCAUCGUCCAUUUCCCAAUUCGACCUUUUACGAUUGGCCGGGUAAGCAUGUACCGGAUAACGUCGGUCUGGGCAAUGACUUGUGUGACCGACGGAAGCAUGUAAUGUCGAAGCUUGGAGGCGGCGAAGAACACGGCAAGACAGAGCUUCUCAACAGCGGAAUAAUUGAUUUCGGGUUGAUUGAGAUUUUGACUGAGGUAAAAAAUAGCCUGCUCCUGCCCGGCAUCGUUAUCUUGGGCAAUGAGGUAGCCGAUGGAUGCUUCAGCCGCUGAAAUAUAUAGUUUGAGAGGUUUACCAUGCCGGGGUGGAACAAGAACAGGUGGCAUCGUGAGGGAGACUUUGAUUUGUGUAAACGCUGCCUGAUGCUCAUCGGUCCACUCAAAAUUAUUUGAGUCCUUAAGUUUCAAAAGCGUCGAGAACGCUUUCAUUUUACCCGCCGAGUGAGCUAUAAAUCGGCGGAGAAAAUUUAUCUUGCCGAGUAAAGACUGCAAUUGUUUCUUCGUCGUCAGGGGUGGAGCACUGAUGAUUGCACGUGCUUUAUUUUCGUCCACUUCAAUUCCACGGUGAUGCACUAGAAAACCGAGAAAAUUACCGGCCGACAUACCGAAUGCACAUUUGGCAGGAUUCAUUUUGAGAUUAUGAUGACGCAUACGAAGGAAAGCUUGUCAGAUAUCAUCCAGAUGAAUCCGUCGUUGUUUGGAUUUAAUUACCACAUCGUCGAUAUAGACUUCGACAAUGGUUCCAAUUAAAUCAUGAAAUAUGGUGUUCAUUGCCCGUUGGUAUGUGGCGCCGGCGUUUUUUAGGCCGAAUGGCAUGACAACCCAUUCGUAAGUGCCGAGUGCCCCCGGGCAGCGAAAAGCAGUUUUGUGCACGUUAGCUUCGGCAAUGAAAAUUUGGUUGUACCCGGCAUGUCCAUCCACAAAGGAUAAGAUCGCAUGGUUUACCGCAGCAUCGAUCAACAGAUCCGAAAUCGUCAUUGUAUACUCAUCUUUGGGAGUUGCCAGAUUCAGAUUUCUGAAAUCGAUGCAAAUGCGCAAUGCACCAUUUUUCUUUAAAACAGGAACGAUAUUGGCCAACCAUUCAACAUAUCGAGCUGUCCAAAUGAACCCGGCUUUCAAAAGCUGAACUAAUUCAUCCUUGAUACCGAGUUGCACUUCGGUUGAGAAGCAUCGAGGUGGUUGACGGAAAGGUUUACAUCCAUGUUUAAUACGCAACUUAUGCUCGACGAGAGUACGAUCUAAGCCAGGCAUUUCAUGAUAGCUCCAAGCAAAACAAUCUUUAAAUUCCUCAAGCAGGGCACGAAGUUCGGCCUUCAUAGGUUGGGGAAGUAAAGUACUAACAAAUAAAGGUCGUGGGUCAUCGGCCAUCCCAACAUUAACUUCCUCCAAGGGAUCUUUGACUUGGGGCUGAUUAUCUUCGAGCUCGGCCAGGGCGGCUUGAAUUUUGUCAAGAGACAGGACAGGACCAUUAUCUCCUUCGGCGAGGAACUCGACGAGGUUAAAGCCCGAAUUUGGUUGUUUAGAUAUAGUAUACCAAUGGGCCAGCAGUCGUUCCAUAGUGUAUGAAACCGCGGCCCUACGUUUUUCCCGAUCGGUGUCAAACAUUAGGGUCAGGGAUGAAAUUAGCUAAACCGAGUCUCGCUGAAUCCUGAUGGACAGUUUCGGCGCCAACCUCGAUAGCUUUUUGAACAGAAAUCUAAGUCGACCGUCCUUCGUCAUUGAAACCCUGUAGGGUAAUAUAGCCGAUGUGGUCAUCAUAAUACCGUGCCUGGAUCAUGUUGGUUUCGAAAGGCUGACUAUCGGCUCGGUGAACAAUGACUGACUUGCAGUCCCAGAAAACUAGCACUUGAUAUAAUGAUAAAGGAAUACAGCUGGUUUGAUGAAUCCAGUCUCGACCGAGCAGUGCAUUAUACUCGGUUUUGGAGUUGACGAUAAAAAAGGCGGUCAUGUGAUUACGGCCGGUAAUAUUUACUGCUAAAGGAAGCACCCUUUUGGUUUGGGACUUGUCCCCAACGAAACUGCUCAUUGUGAUCCCGGAGGGAAUGAGUUCGUCGUUGGACCGACAUAACACCUUCAUAAUGUUUACAGGCAUGAUAUUGACAGUGGCUCCACAGUCGACAAAAACUUUGGAGACUGGAUAUCCUUCGAUAUGGGCCGUGACAUACACUGGCUUUAAAUGAUGAAGGUUAGUCGAUGAUGAGCGAGGAAACAGUUCGGCCAAAGCUGCUUUGAUGUUGUUAUCCUUUGUUGUCGAGUCCUCGUUUGCAAUAGUUACAAAAUCAAUAUGGCCGGCUUCCUCGGCAAUUACGUCACCAUCAAGAAAAUUUGGUUGGGAUGUGCUCGACUGAAAAUCAGCCCGUGAAACAUAGACCAUACUGAUUUCCAUGUUAUCCAGGACCGAUGGACCCAUCGGGUUACAAUCAUCAUCUUCAACCUCUUCUUUUUCCUGGUCACCGACUGCAGCAUCUGUUCCCGUCAAAGUUGUACUAAGAGAUUCCUCUGUUCCUUCAAUGGUUGGCUCCCGCGGUGUCUCCUUGGAAGCCUGUUCGUUCUGUGUAUGUGCCUUAGGUGCGCCUGAAAUCGGAAUUGUAUCUGGAUUGACGCUAGGAUACGAGCUUGUUCCUGAUACAUUAUACGGGCAUCCCUGGUAUCGAGAUAGGCAUCUAACCGUGCCACUCAUGCUAUCUCAUCGACUGUGAGGCCAAAGAGAGAAACGGCCGAAAAGACCUCGAAGUGGUAUCGUAAAUAUUGAAGAUCCUCCAUGGAGAAGGGAAGGUCGGCUGCAUCAAUAUCAGUAUAUGGGUCGACUUCAAAGCCAAGAACUCGAGCUUCUCGUAUGUGCUGGAACCUAGCUUUCAAUCCUGGGUCUAAGGUCUUCUGAAUAAUUCGCUCAGCAUCCGGGCAGGUUAAGACGAGAUCAAUCGUAUCUUGACAUGCUUUCGGCAAACCAUAUAGAUCGUUGGCCGAAUGAUGUUUAUGAAACUCUUGCAUAUAUCCUAAGGCCUCCCCGAGAAAUGGUGGAUGUAAAUUCCGUUGAAUUUUGAUCAAAGGUUCUUGCGGGGUUGGUGGGGACAGUUUGUUGUCCGCUUCUUUCUUGAAGUGAUUGAAGCAUGCCUUCAUUUCUCCAGGCCGAAAAAGAAGUUUGAUCCGUUUAUCAGCCUCCUCAAACAUGGUCUCAACAUCUUGAUUAACUAGCCGUUUUCCUUGAACCAACUCUGUCAUAAUAGUUGGAGUUGGUCGUUCAUCAUCAGUGACAAUUGUGUCCUUCGACCGCUAUUUAGGGACCGAAGUUUCUUGGGCUGCCUGUCGGCGGGCCAUGCAAUCUAUCCUUUGGUGCAAGCAUUUCUGAGAUUUGGACAGUGCGGUAUAGACGCCUUUCGAAUAGUGAUAUGUAUACCAACGUUGAUCUCUAGGUUCGGGAGGUUUGAAAGUUUUUAGCUCCGAGAUGAUUCUGAGCUGCUAGAGUUACGUAUAUAGUAGUCCUCGUCAUAAAAUAAAACAUCAAAAUCAAGGUGCCGCCUGACUGAGGGUGUCUCUUCCAUCCUCACUUUAGGACCGAGCCUAUAAAAAACCCCUUGAUGAUGGCCUACGUUGGCUACCUUUUGCUGGGUUGCGGCCGCAGGUCGUUCUGUUAUAAGCGAAAAGGGCUUCUCCUCUGGCUCACUGUUGACCUUUGCUCUACAUUUACUGCAUAAAACCGCCGUCCCACUAUCUUCAUCGGUGCUGUAAUUAACAUAGGUUUGACAAUAACGGGUCCCAUUAAAGCUGUAGGUGGUUUGUUUGAACAAAAAUCGGCCAUGAAACGUGGUCGAGAAUUCUGAUUCCGAAAGCGUUGCGUCGUAACAACUUUGGCCUUCCCUUUCCCUUUGUCCUUAGGUAGGCACGCAUCAACCAUAUUUACUGUUGCCGUGGGGAACGGGUCAGUAUCAACGCUCAUCUUCUUCUCAGGAAAUUUCAGUUUGCCAUUAUCAAUCCAGCUUUGGACGUUGUCUCGAAACACGACGUAAUUGUUUGUCAUAUGUUUGCUUGAAUUGUGGUAUUUGCAAUAUAUUUUUCCUUUAAGCUCUUCGGCCUUGGGAAUGUUGUGCCCAGGCCGAAGUUUGAUGAUCCUCGCUGAUAACAGUUGAUCAAAAAUUGCAUCGGCUUUUGUAAUAUCAAAAGUAUAAAAUUUUGACGGUUUCAGUGUUCCUUCAGUGGCUGAGCGGAUUUUGACUUCCUUAGAGUCAACUUGAGUCAGUGCCUUGCAAACGUAAGGCUUAUCUAUCACUAUCUCAGCUGCAUCCACACUAACGCAUUCAUCCUCGGUUGAUGCAUAAUUAACAGUAGGAUUCUUGUAAAUCGUCCCCCGAGAUGAAGCUUUCGAAAUCUUUUCCUCGCGGAGCAAAUAAUCAUACUGCUCGACAUGUUAGGCUAAUUGGUACAUAUCCCGAAAGUUUGCCCCCAAGAAUUUCUUUUUGUAUUCGACGUCGAGACCGUUCAGAGCAAGCUUGACGAAUUCGACUUCGGGGAGAGGUACUCGACACCAAUUCCUGGCUGAUUUAAAUCUGGUAAGAUAAUCCAUUGGUGAUUCAUCAGAUGCUUGAGCUAUCCUUGCUAGCGAGGAUACUGACAUUUCCAUUCCCGACCGAUAAAACUGCUCAUGAAAUUUCUCGACCAACUCCUCCCAACUCUGGAUGGAGUUCGGUGGGAGGUUAAUAUACCAAGCGAACGCUCAACCAGUCAGCGAAAAAUUGAAAAGUCGCAGCUUGUGAAAAUCACUAUUGACGUCUCCGCAUUGCGCGGUGAAACGAGCUGCAUGUUCUAACGAUGAUAAGGAUGAUUCUCCAGCAAAAAGGCUAAAAUCCGGGAUUUUAAAACCUCUAGGGUAUUCGAACUGUUCCACAUAAGCUGGAUAUGGGUGUAUAAACUUAGGGAACUUCGGCCCCUUCUUCAUGGCCGAAUCGAUCAUCUGUUAGACCUUGGUCAUAUCGACGGGUGGUGCUUCCACUCUCUGGUCGGAUCCAUCUGACCUACUAUUCGAUCCUCCUCCCCUCUCCAAGUUAAUUGGUUUGAGCCGAGCAGGGAUUGGCUCGGCCGGUGCACUUGGUAAUAGAUUGUUCCUCGGUGGAAAAUGCUGGGCAAGAUCGAAAGUUCUACCGUCGCUGACCUUACUAACCAGUAUUUCGAGUAAUCUGGUUUGUGCCUCACUGGUAUUGCGUAACACGUCAUGAAGUUUAUCGAUUCCUCGACUAAGCGUCUAUUCAACCGUCCGAGAUUGCUCAUCAAGCCGUUUUCGAAGAAACGACCUUGUUGGUGGAUCAGAUCCUUCGCCACCAUCAUCGUCGCAAUCCUCUAUUAUCCCUUCAUUGAGGACGCAUGUGUUCCUGUCGAGGAUUUCGAGAUUGCGAAACUGACCGCCGAGAUUAACUUCCCUUUCUCGGCGAGUUCGCUCGUGGACUCAGGUGUCACGGCGCUGACGGGAUUCUGCGCUUGUGGCACAUUGUGUCUUAUGUUCUGAGUUGGUAAAUCGGCUGUCGACUUUCCCAUAGCUGUUUUCUUUUUUACCGAUCGUGUUUCAAUUGGCAUGAACUUCGUAGUUUAGCACUGGGUCCUACUGGGCGUGCCAAAAUGUUGACCCUAAAAACUACCAAGCCUACGUGGCGCGCAAGCCGAGUAAUCUAUAAGCUAACUACAUCCUUCGGUGAAUGCGGGGCGUGCCAACUCGUCGGCCGAGCUCGGUCGAGGAGUAAAUUUGUUGUUGUUGCGUUGGGCUCGCAGCUGACUUCUCCGUCUUGGGAUUGCGACCGAGGAAGGAACACGUCUCGACCUUUUGGGUUCUCGAACCUAAAGACAGGGUUACUAUUCUUACGAAGUUCACGAAUCGCCGUCGUCAGAUUCGGUCACCGUGAUGUUAUUCGUCAGAGUAAACUCACGCCGAAUUGACACCAAAGUGUAAGGGCACAAAUACUCAAAUCGAAUAUAAGUCUUUAUAGUGAACGUGGUUCGGCCGUCUGAAUGCCGAACUCUGAAUCCCACUUGAGAGUAUCCAAUCAUAAAAUAACUCGGCAUGCAAUGCGCCGAGCUUAGUAAAUUGUAACACCUCACUUCGCCGAGAAAGCUAAUGAGAUGACCUCAAUCAAUAAGGAUUCAGAAAUCCUUCUCGACCGAGACUUGGAUAGGUAACCAACCGUCCUCGCCGCAGUGCUGUUGAUGCCAACGGAAGAUACUGCGAGAUCGGCCGAUUCUACGGCGACAGAGCUAUCUAUGCCGACUUAAGGUGUCACCGGUUGCUUUCACAGUGCUGUUGAUGCCAACGGAAGAUGUGUCAGCGAAAAGAGAAAAUAAAAAUCUCAAGUUGUUGAGAAAGUUUGCGCAGGGCAGUUGUGUGUUGAAUUGGAGGGGCUUUA
RNAcentral lists this long non-coding RNA (15002 nucleotides) under Malus domestica (apple). Its description in RNAcentral is "long non-coding RNA (MDOM_LNC008481)". The record is from RNAcentral. Lineage: Eukaryota; Viridiplantae; Streptophyta; Magnoliopsida; Rosales; Rosaceae.